GACGAACGCUGGCGGCGUGCUUAACACAUGCAAGUCGAACGGUAAGGCUCCAGCUUGCUGGGGUACACGAGUGGCGAACGGGUGAGUAACACGUGGGUGACCUGCCCUGCACUUCGGGAUAAGCCUGGGAAACUGGGUCUAAUACCGGAUAGGACCGCACCGUGAGGGUGUGGUGGAAAGUUUUUUCGGUGUGGGAUGGGCCCGCGGCCUAUCAGCUUGUUGGUGGGGUAAUGGCCUACCAAGGCGGCGACGGGUAGCCGGCCUGAGAGGGUGGACGGCCACAUUGGGACUGAGGCACGGCCCAGACUCCUACGGGAGGCAGCAGUGGGGAAUAUUGCACAAUGGGCGGAAGCCUGAUGCAGCGACGCCGCGUGGGGGAUGACGGCCUUCGGGUUGUAAACUCCUUUCACCAUCGACGAAGGGUUUCUGACGGUAGAUGGAGAAGAAGCACCGGCUAACUACGUG
RNAcentral lists this ribosomal RNA (465 nucleotides) under uncultured bacterium. RNAcentral describes it as "partial 16S ribosomal RNA". It matches the Rfam family "Bacterial small subunit ribosomal RNA", at positions 28 to 507 of the family's 1533-position model. The record is from RNAcentral.